Molecule: unclassified non-coding RNA, 551 nt
Filed under: Anthoxanthum nivale
Lineage: Eukaryota; Viridiplantae; Streptophyta; Magnoliopsida; Poales; Poaceae
Description: partial external transcribed spacer
Source: RNAcentral
GAGCGGGCCAAGCUCGUCCGACUUAUUUGGGGAUCGGAAUCGAGUAUGCUGCAUAAUCCUACCACUUUCUGUGGAAAGGUAGAGGCAACAUUCGUUCAACGAUGUUCUCAAAGUCGGAGAGCAUUCUUAGGGUCUUGCUCGUCCGACUUAUUUGGGGAUCGGAAUCGAGUAUACUGCGUAAUCCUACCACUUGCUGUGGAAAGGUAGAGGCAACAUUCGUUCAACGAUGUUCUCAAAGUCGGAGAGCGUUCUUAGGGUCAGGCCCCGAGGCAACCAAAUGGGCCACGAGGCUAUAUAUCAUGAGCGACAUCCAAAACCAAUAGCGAAAGCGAGGCUGCCUUGAUAGCACCGGACACGAGAACCAACACCACGAGGCAACGCCGCAAUCGCCAUAUGGCCGCAGCAGCACACCCAAAGGCGUCCACCACGAGGCAACUAUGUAUGAAGCACCAAUACCCAUAGGUCAGGUAACAUCACGCAAGCACUUGAAAGGCAAAGUAAGAUAGCUCACACAAAUGGCAAGACACGGCGCCCAUAGUCGGCCGCACAAA